GACGAACGCUGGCGGCGUGCUUAACACAUGCAAGUCGAACGGAAAGGCCCUUCGGGGUACUCGAGUGGCGAACGGGUGAGUAACACGUGGGUGAUCUGCCCUGCACUUUGGGAUAAGCCUGGGAAACUGGGUCUAAUACCGAAUAGGACCACGCGCUUCAUGGUGUGUGGUGGAAAGCUUUUGCGGUGUGGGAUGGGCCCGCGGCCUAUCAGCUUGUUGGUGGGGUAAUGGCCUACCAAGGCGACGACGGGUAGCCGGCCUGAGAGGGUGACCGGCCACACUGGGACUGAGAUACGGCCCAGACGCCUACGGGAGGCAGCAGGGGGGAAUAUUGCACAAUGGGCGCAAGCCUGAUGCAGCGACGCCGCGUGAGGGAUGACGGCCUUCGGGUUGUAAACCUCUUUCAAUAGGGACGAAGCGCAAGUGACGGUACCUAUAGAAGAAGCACCGGCCAACUACGUG
RNAcentral lists this ribosomal RNA (462 nucleotides) under uncultured bacterium. RNAcentral describes it as "partial 16S ribosomal RNA". It matches the Rfam family "Bacterial small subunit ribosomal RNA", at positions 28 to 507 of the family's 1533-position model. The record is from RNAcentral.